AUAGCUUUAGGGCUAGCCUCACGAAGAACGAGUCUUGGAGGUAGAGCACUGUUUGGACUAGGGGCCCUCAUCGGGUUACCGAAUUCAGACAAACUCCGAAUGCCAAGUACUUAAACGUGGGAGUCAGACUGCGAGUGAUAAGAUCCGUAGUCAAAAGGGAAACAGCCCAGACCACCAGCUAAGGUCCCAAAGUAUACGUUAAGUGGAAAAGGAUGUGGGGUUGCUUAGACAACCAGGAUGUUGGCUUAGAAGCAGCCAUCAUUUAAAGAGUGCGUAAUAGCUCACUGGUCGAGUGACCCCGCGCCGAAAAUGUACCGGGGCUAAACGUAUCACCGAAGCUGUGGGU
RNAcentral lists this ribosomal RNA (346 nucleotides) under Bacillus sp. 7504-2. RNAcentral's name for it is "bacterial LSU rRNA". It matches the Rfam family "Bacterial large subunit ribosomal RNA", at positions 864 to 1207 of the family's 2925-position model. The record is from RNAcentral. Lineage: Bacteria; Bacillati; Bacillota; Bacilli; Caryophanales; Bacillaceae.